GUGGGGAAUAUUGGGCAAUGGGCGCAAGCCUGACCCAGCAACGCCGCGUGAAGGAAGAAGGCUUUCGGGUUGUAAACUUCUUUUACCAGGGACGAAACAAAUGACGGUACCUGGUGAAUAAGCCACGGCUAACUACGUGCCAGCAGCCGCGGUAAUACGUAGGUGGCGAGCGUUAUCCGGAUUUAUUGGGUGUAAAGGGCGUGUAGGCGGGACAGCAAGUCAGAUGUGAAAACCAGAGGCUCAACCUCUGGCCUGCAUUUGAAACUGUUGUUCUUGAGUGUCGGAGAGGUAAUCGGAAUUCCGUGUGUAGCGGUGAAAUGCGUAGAUAUACGGAGGAACACCAGUGGCGAAGGCGGAUUACUGGACGAUAACUGACGCUGAGGCGCGAAAGCUAGGGGAGCGAACGGGAUUAGAAACCCUUGUAGUCC
Molecule: ribosomal RNA, 428 nt
Filed under: uncultured bacterium
Lineage: Bacteria
Description: partial 16S ribosomal RNA
Rfam family: Bacterial small subunit ribosomal RNA
Source: RNAcentral